CCAAAGGCUCUUUUAAGAGCCACCCACCUUGCCGUGAAAAGAGCUGU
This is a regulatory RNA element of Alligator mississippiensis (American alligator), 47 nucleotides long. It matches the Rfam family "Histone 3' UTR stem-loop". Rfam says of the family: The mRNAs of metazoan histone genes lack a poly-A tail. The record is from Rfam. Lineage: Eukaryota; Metazoa; Chordata; Crocodylia; Alligatoridae.